RNAcentral lists this ribosomal RNA (484 nucleotides) under uncultured bacterium. RNAcentral describes it as "partial 16S ribosomal RNA". It matches the Rfam family "Bacterial small subunit ribosomal RNA", at positions 30 to 507 of the family's 1533-position model. The record is from RNAcentral.
AUUGAACGCUGGCGGCAGGCCUAACACAUGCAAGUCGAGCGGAUGAAGGGAGCUUGCUCCUGGAUUCAGCGGCGGACGGGUGAGUAAUGCCUAGGAAUCUGCCUGGUAGUGGGGGAUAACGUCCGGAAACGGGCGCUAAUACCGCAUACGUCCUGAGGGAGAAAGUGGGGGAUCUUCGGACCUCACGCUAUCAGAUGAGCCUAGGUCGGAUUAGCUAGUUGGUGGGGUAAAGGCCUACCAAGGCGACGAUCCGUAACUGGUCUGAGAGGAUGAUCAGUCACACUGGAACUGAGACGCGGUCCAGACUCCUACGGGAGGGAGCAGUGGGGAAUAUUGGACAAAGGGCGAAAGCCUGAUCCAGCCAUGCCGCGUGUGUGAAGAAGGUCUUCGGAUUGUAAAGCACUUUAAGUUGGGAGGAAGGGCAGUAAGUUAAUACCUUGCUGUUUUGACGUUACCAACAGAAUAAGCACCGGCUAACUUCGUG